RNAcentral lists this transfer RNA (74 nucleotides) under Azospirillum brasilense. RNAcentral describes it as "tRNA-Gln". It matches the Rfam family "tRNA". Rfam says of the family: Transfer RNA (tRNA) molecules are approximately 80 nucleotides in length. Their secondary structure includes four short double-helical elements and three loops (D, anti-codon, and T loops). Lineage: Bacteria; Pseudomonadati; Pseudomonadota; Alphaproteobacteria; Rhodospirillales; Azospirillaceae. The record is from RNAcentral. RNAcentral also lists the same sequence under 54 other names.
UGGGGAAUAGUUUAACGGUAGAACUCCCGACUCUGACUCGGGCAGUCUUGGUUCGAAUCCAGGUUCCCCAGCCA